Molecule: non-coding RNA, 30 nt
Filed under: Mus musculus (house mouse)
Lineage: Eukaryota; Metazoa; Chordata; Mammalia; Rodentia; Muridae
Source: RNAcentral
UACCAUCAUUUUGGUUUCCUAUUGCUCUAG